GAUGAACGCUAGCUACAGGCUAAACACAUGCAAGUCGAGGGGUAACAAGAGAAAAGCUUGCUUUUCUUGUUGACGACCGGCGCACGGGUGAGUAACGCGUAUCCAACCUGCCUAUAACUAGGGAAUAACCUUGCGAAAGUAAGACUAAUACCCUAUGAUUUCCUUUGAUGACAUCAGAUUAGGAAUAAAGAUUUAUCGGUUAUAGAUGGGGAUGCGUCUGAUUAGCUUGUUGGCGAGGUAACGGCCCACCAAGGCAACGAUCAGUAGGGGUUCUGAGGGGAAGGUCCCCCACAUUGGAACUGAGACACGGUCCAAACUCCUACGGGAGGCAGCCGUGAGGAAUAUUGGUCAAUGGGCGGAAGCCUGAACCAGCCAAGUAGCGUGCAGGAUGACGGCCCUAUGGGUUGUAAACUGCUUUUAUACAGGAAUAAAGUUAGCCACGUGUGGUUAUUUGUAGGUACUGUAUGAAUAAGGACCGGCUAAUUCCGUGCCAGCAGCCGCAGUAA
This 506-nucleotide ribosomal RNA is filed under the name uncultured bacterium. RNAcentral describes it as "partial 16S ribosomal RNA". It matches the Rfam family "Bacterial small subunit ribosomal RNA", at positions 28 to 523 of the family's 1533-position model. The record is from RNAcentral.